GCCUCCAUAGCUCAGCGGAUCAGAGCACUCGUCUUCGGAACGAGGGGUCGGGGGUUCGAAUCCCUCUGGGGGCGCCA
This 77-nucleotide transfer RNA is filed under the name candidate division WWE3 bacterium RAAC2_WWE3_1. RNAcentral describes it as "tRNA-Arg (TCG) (tRNA-Arg-TCG-1-1)". It matches the Rfam family "tRNA". Rfam says of the family: Transfer RNA (tRNA) molecules are approximately 80 nucleotides in length. The record is from RNAcentral. RNAcentral also lists the same sequence under 13 other names. Lineage: Bacteria; candidate division WWE3.